AUUGAACGCUGGCGGCAGGCUUAACACAUGCAAGUCGAGCGGGGUGAUGGUGCUUGCACUAUCACUUAGCGGCGGACGGGUGAGUAAUGCUUAGGAAUCUGCCUAUUAGUGGGGGACAACAUCUCUAAAGGGAUGCUAAUACCGCAUACGUCCUACGGGAGAAAGCAGGGGAUCACUUGUGACCUUGCGCUAAUAGAUGAGCCUAAGUCGGAUUAGCUAGUUGGUGGGGUAAAGGCCUACCAAGGCGACGAUCUGUAGCGGGUCUGAGAGGAUGAUCCGCCACACUGGGACUGAAACACGGCCCAGACUCCUACGGGAGGCAGCAGUGGGGAAUAUUGGACAAUGGGGGGAACCCUGAUCCAGCCAUGCCGCGUGUGUGAAGAAGGCCUUAUGGUUGUAAAGCACUUUAAGCGAGGAGUAGGCUACUCUAGUUAAUACCUAGGGAUAGUGGACGUUACUCGCAGAAUAAGCACCGGCUAACUCUGUGCCAGCCGCCGCCGUAA
Molecule: ribosomal RNA, 503 nt
Filed under: uncultured bacterium
Lineage: Bacteria
Description: partial 16S ribosomal RNA
Rfam family: Bacterial small subunit ribosomal RNA
Source: RNAcentral